This 492-nucleotide ribosomal RNA is filed under the name uncultured bacterium. Its description in RNAcentral is "partial 16S ribosomal RNA". It matches the Rfam family "Bacterial small subunit ribosomal RNA", at positions 29 to 507 of the family's 1533-position model. The record is from RNAcentral.
AGUGAACGCUGGCGGUAGGCCUAACACAUGCAAGCCGAACGGCAGCACAGUAAUAGCUUGCUCUUACGGGUGGCGAGUGGCGGACGGGUGAGGAAUACAUCGGAAUCUACUUUUUCGUGGGGGAUAACGUAGGGAAACUUACGCUAAUACCGCAUACGACCUACGGGUGAAAGCAGGGGAUCUUCGGACCUUGCGCGAUUGAAUGAGCCGAUGUCGGAUUAGCUAGUUGGCGGGGUAAAGGCCCACCAAGGCGACGAUCCGUAGCUGGUCUGAGAGGAUGAUCAGCCACACUGGAACUGAGACACGGUCCAGACUCCUACGGGAGGCAGCAGUGGGGAAUAUUGGACAAUGGGCGCAAGCCUGAUCCAGCCAUACCGCGUGGGUGAAGAAGGCCUUCGGGUUGUAAAGCCCUUUUGUUGGGAAAGAAAAGCAGCAGGUUAAUACCCCGCUGUUCUGACGGUACCCAAAGAAUAAGCACCGGCUAACUUCGUG